This 265-nucleotide long non-coding RNA is filed under the name Lathyrus oleraceus (garden pea). RNAcentral's name for it is "Pisum sativum (pea) long non-coding RNA (PSAT_LNC019271)". Lineage: Eukaryota; Viridiplantae; Streptophyta; Magnoliopsida; Fabales; Fabaceae. The record is from RNAcentral.
UUGACUGCAUCAGAGUUCCCAGGACGAGUGAACUUCCAUCCAUUGUUGUAAGUGUCAGAACACUGCCUGAAGAGGCUUUCUUGAAAACGUAUGGACGUUCUUAGCUUGGAGUUCACUUGCCCCUGGAAUUGGGCACGAAAGACAAGACUUUCUUGAGCACAAGGUCACCUUCUCGGAACACACGAGGCUUGACCUUCUUGUUGAAUGCCUUUUCACUCUCUGCUGAUAUGACUGACCAUGACACAUGGCAGUUGAUCUCUUCUUU